Molecule: ribosomal RNA, 378 nt
Filed under: uncultured bacterium
Lineage: Bacteria
Description: partial 16S ribosomal RNA
Rfam family: Bacterial small subunit ribosomal RNA
Source: RNAcentral
CCUACGGGUGGCAGCAGUGAGGAAUAUUGCGCAAUGGGGGCAACUCUGAUGCAGCGACGCCGCGUGAGUGAGGAAGGUUUUCGGUUUGUAAAGCUCUAUCGGCUGUGAAGAAGAUGACAGUAGCUUAUUAAGAAGCCCCGGCUAACUACGUGCCAGCAGCCGCGGUAAUACGUAGGGGGCAAGCGUUGUCCGGAUUUACUGGGUGUAAAGGGAGCGUAGGCGGCUUAGUAAGUCAGAAGUGAAAACCCAGGGCUCAACCUUGGGACUGCUAUUGAAACUGUGUAGCUAGAGUGACGGAGAGGAAAGUGGAAUACCCAGUGUAGCGGUGAAAUGCGUAGAUAUUAGGAAGAACACCAGUGGCGAAGGCGACUAACUGGA